This 169-nucleotide non-coding RNA is filed under the name Clostridium amazonitimonense. RNAcentral's name for it is "Lysine riboswitch". It matches the Rfam family "Lysine riboswitch aptamer". From Rfam's summary of the family: Riboswitches are metabolite binding domains within certain messenger RNAs that serve as precision sensors for their corresponding targets. Allosteric rearrangement of mRNA structure is mediated by ligand binding, and this results in modulation of gene expression. This family includes riboswitches that sense lysine in a number of genes involved in lysine metabolism, including lysC. Lineage: Bacteria; Bacillati; Bacillota; Clostridia; Eubacteriales; Clostridiaceae. The record is from RNAcentral.
GUGAUAGAGGAGCGAUGUCUAAGAUUAACUUUACUGAGGUAAGCACGAAGAGGUAAAGUGAAAGGAGCCACCGCCGAAGUAUAAAACUGAUGCUUUAAGGUUUUGUAGCUGGUUUUGCAUAGAAUAUGUGCAUAACUGUCGCAAAUUUUAAUUUGUGGAGAGCUAUCAU